GUUUUUGGUCUUUUAAAUGAUAUAUAUAAAUGAUUUUUAAAGUAGGCUUAAAAUUUAUGAAUAAGAUACAUACAAAUUCGGGUAAUGAUAGUUAAGUGAGUAAUACAAGUUUGAAUUUAACUUUUAUAAAUUUAUUGGAUUAGUCGAUUAAAGGAUAAGUUGAUUUGUAUUGAGUGUGUAUAGUUUAUGAUUGAAUGAAUUCAUUGAAAUGGGCAUAUGUGUAUAAUAUAAUGACAUUAAAGGUAUGUAAGGCUAAAAUAUAAUGUUACUAAUGUUGCAUUUGUGAUUAGACAUUAAGUUGUAUACAUAUUGGUUUCAUUAUGUACAUAUGCAGAAGUUAUGAAAUGCAAAGUUUGAUA
Molecule: long non-coding RNA, 359 nt
Filed under: Gossypium barbadense (sea-island cotton)
Lineage: Eukaryota; Viridiplantae; Streptophyta; Magnoliopsida; Malvales; Malvaceae
Description: long non-coding RNA (GBAR_LNC022581)
Source: RNAcentral